CCUACGUGAGGCUGCAGUGGGGGAUAUUGCACAAUGGGGGAAACCCUGAUGCAGCGACGCCGCGUGAGUGAAGAAGUAUUUCUGUAUGUAAAGCUCUAUCAGCAGGGAAGAAAAUGACAGUACCUGACUAAGAAGCCCCGGCUAACUACGUGCCAGCAGCCGCGGUAAUACGUAGGGGGCAAGCGUUAUCCGGAUUUACUGGGUGUAAAGGGAGCGUAGACGGUUAAGUAAGUCUGGAGUGAAAGCUCGGGGCCCAACCCCGGGACUGCUUUGGAAACUGUGUAACUGGAGUACAGGAGGGGCAGGCGGAAUUCCUGGUGUAGCGGUGAAAUGCGUAGAUAUCAGGAGGAACACCAGCGGCGAAGGCGGCCUGCUGGACUGAAACUGACGUUGAGGCUCGAAAGCGUGGGGAGCAAACAGGAUUAGAUACUCUGGUAGUC
RNAcentral lists this ribosomal RNA (440 nucleotides) under uncultured bacterium. Its description in RNAcentral is "partial 16S ribosomal RNA". It matches the Rfam family "Bacterial small subunit ribosomal RNA", at positions 338 to 795 of the family's 1533-position model. The record is from RNAcentral.